GGAGGCCAGCCAAGCAGCUUACGACGCAAGUUCGGCUCUUCAGAGUAACGUCCAGAAAUCUUGUGAACUUGUAGCUCACUAUACUGAGCUGGAGAAUCAGCAGAUCUAGCUCAACCUUAACUUGAAGCUUGCUCAGGAGAAUUUGAAGAAGGCGCAGGAAGAAGCAAAAGAUAAACUGGAGGAAGCUCUGAAGAAGAAGGAUCAAGAUCUUGCAGAGGCACAGAAGGAGGUCUUGAACAAAGCGAGGCUUGCUGAAGAGAAACUGGCUUCGGUCGGAGCUCUUGAGCAGGAGAACUCCGGGCUGAAAGCUGCUCUCGAGGUAGCCAAAUCGAGAGGUCAGCCGACUAAAGAACGACAACGUGGCUCUUCACGACAAGGCGAGUGAGCUGGUGGGGAAGAGGAACGAUCUGGAGGCUUAUCUCGGUGGACUCGCCAAGAAGCUGUUUGUCAUGC
Molecule: long non-coding RNA, 453 nt
Organism: Triticum dicoccoides
Lineage: Eukaryota; Viridiplantae; Streptophyta; Magnoliopsida; Poales; Poaceae
Exons: 3
Source: RefSeq, a predicted model, not a curated record